CCUACGGGCGGCAGCAGUGAGGAAUAUUGGUCAAUGGACGAGAGUCUGAACCAGCCAAGUAGCGUGAAGGAUGACGGCCCUAUGGGUUGUAAACUUCUUUUAUAUGGGAAUAAAAUGUGCCACGUGUGGGAUGUUGUAUGUACCAUAUGAAUAAGGAUCGGCUAACUCCGUGCCAGCAGCCGCGGUAAUACGGAGGAUCCGAGCGUUAUCCGGAUUUAUUGGGGUUAAAGGGAGCGUAGGGGGAUUGUUAAGUCAGUUGUGAAAGUUUGCGGCGCAACCGGAAAAUUGCCGUUGAAACUGGCAGUCUUGAGUACAGUAUCGGUGGGCGCCUUUCGUGUUGUAGCUG
Molecule: ribosomal RNA, 346 nt
Filed under: uncultured bacterium
Lineage: Bacteria
Description: partial 16S ribosomal RNA
Rfam family: Bacterial small subunit ribosomal RNA
Source: RNAcentral